UACGGAGGGAGCUAGCGUUGUUCGGAAUUACUGGGCGUAAAGCGCACGUAGGCGGCUUUUUAAGUCAGAGGUGAAAUCCCCGGGGCUCAACCCCGGAACUGCCUUUGAAACUGGGAAGCUAGAAUCUUGGAGAGGCGAGUGGAAUUCCGAGUGUAGAGGUGAAAUUCGUAGAUAUUCGGAAGAACACCAGUGGCGAAGGCGACUCGCUGGACAAGUAUUGACGCUGAGGUGCGAAAGCGUGGGGAGCAAACAGGAUUAGAUACCCCGGUAGU
RNAcentral lists this ribosomal RNA (272 nucleotides) under uncultured bacterium. RNAcentral describes it as "partial 16S ribosomal RNA". It matches the Rfam family "Bacterial small subunit ribosomal RNA", at positions 524 to 794 of the family's 1533-position model. The record is from RNAcentral.